RNAcentral lists this ribosomal RNA (300 nucleotides) under uncultured Helicobacter sp. RNAcentral describes it as "bacterial SSU rRNA". It matches the Rfam family "Bacterial small subunit ribosomal RNA", at positions 496 to 795 of the family's 1533-position model. The record is from RNAcentral. Lineage: Bacteria; Pseudomonadati; Campylobacterota; Epsilonproteobacteria; Campylobacterales; Helicobacteraceae.
GCUAAUGCGUGGCCGGCAGCUGUGGUAAAACGGAGGGUGCAAUCGUUUUCCGGAAUAAUUUGGUUUAAAGGGUCCGUAGGCGGCCUUAGAAGUCAGCGGUGAAAGUUUUUGGCUUAACCAAAAAAUUGCCAGUGAUACUGUAGGGCUUGAAUAUUUGUGAAGUAACUAGAAUAUGUAGUGUAGCGGUGAAAUGCUUAGAUAUUACAUGGAAUACCAAUUGCGAAGGCAGGUUACUAACAAAUGAUUGACGCUGAUGGACGAAAGCGUGGGUAGCGAACAGGAUUAGAUACCCGUGUAGUC